CUCUGCCCUGACUGAGUGGCCUGAAACAUCUUCCCAGUUUUUUCAAAUAGUCCUGAGAUCUUCACCUGCCUGGAGCCCGUGGUGUCCACGUGCUGUUUGAGAUGCUGGUGCCUGUGGGGAUGGAGCCCGACGAGGGGAAGGGGCAGACCACAAGCAAGACACACAUGCCUCUGUCUGUCCCUGCUGGCCUGCUGGGCCUGAACCAGAUGUAUGCGGGGGUGAACUGGGGCUUUGUUUCCUGCCUAGAAUGUGCCAGAGGUUUGAUAGGAUAAAAAACCAGAGACUUUUUCCUGCAGGGAAUGAGAAGGGCGAUAUUUCUAGUCUCACCGGUCUGGGGAAUUUGGGGACCAAGUGUCAAGAAACCCGUGAAAACAUUGUUUUAAUGCUUCAGUGAAUUGUUUGAGUAGGCAGUGUUUCUUCAUUAUAAGAGGAAUACUCGUUCCCAGCUAAAAGUUUGGGAAACGGAUCUAAUGAAUAACGUAAGCACCCAGAGAUAGCGACUAUAAAUAUUUUGGCAUGUUUCUUGGCAGUUUUUAAAUAGUACGGUGACGAACAUCUUUGAUGAUAUGUCUUUGGAAGCUGUCUGAGUGUUUCCUCAGGGUAAAUUCCUAGAAGACACGCCAAGAGGCCAAAGGCUCGGACGCGUUUUGCCAAAAUGCCCUCCAGAAACGCCGCAGAGAGUGCCAUCCGCCCACCUGGCGGGGGAGCAGGUUGCCGUGCCCUGCUGCCAGCCCUGGGUCGUGUCGUUCCAUUGCGUCUCUGGCCGUCUCCUGGGUGAGACGAGGCUGGCAGCACAGUGCUUUUCAUUUCUUUGAUGGCUGGGCGUGUUGGACAUCUUUUCGUUUUAUUGUUGGCCAUUUGGACAAUUGCCUGUACCUGUUCUUUGCCCAUAUUUUGUUUUCUGUUAGCUGUAUGUCUUUUUCUUACUCUAGAGCUUUUUAUAUUAAGGAUUUCAGCCUACCGCUGCCAUAGACUCGUGCAGAUCACAUUUGUUUUUCAGUUUGUCAUUUUUCUUUUAACUUUGGCUUUAGCUUUCUGUUUGCUAUGCACAAGUUUUACAUGGGCAUGUAGCCAAUCUAUCGAGUUUUCUUUUAUAGUCUCUGGCUUUGGGGUAGGGCCCCAAAGGGUGGCUUUCACCAGCUGUGAUUUCAUAAGCGUUCACCAGUCCAAGGGCUAAAUUUCAAAAUGAGAGAACAGUUUCAGACAUGAAGGGGCACGAGUCAACGCUCUCUGUGGAAUUAAUGCCGGAGUGUGUGAAGGGUAAUCAACAGUUUCUCGAAGGAGAGCGCUUUCUUCUCUCCUUUUUGAAGCCACUGACCUUCAGAUGUAUAUCUGUGUGUGUAUGUUUACAUAUGUAUGUUUAGAUUUACAUUUUUUAACUUUAAGGGGCCUCACCUCCUGUGCCCUCUGAGGUCUUUGUCGGAGGAACAAGAAAAGGCGUCUGUUAUGCUCCUGUGCGAGGUGCGUCGGAGACUCAGUUUCCCUCUAAUCAGGCUCCUCACUGUGUGGGUUCGGGGCCUCCUGGCAUCAGCUUGCAGGUCGCCUUCCCACUGUUCUUGCAAUAGACGCAUCUGCCAUCAAGAAGUGGGGACCCCUGCUCUCCCCCCGAGGGAGCAGGGACCCCCAGCAUCUCUAUGCUCAGCCCCGGGCUGAUGCUUCUAGAACACCAGUCAGUAGCUCUGCUGUCCUCCAGGCGGCCAGCAGUGGGGUCAGGGACAAGAGCAAUGGGCUGGGUAGUGGACACGAGGGCCUCCGAUCUGGCUCUGGGGCCCUGUGCUGGUCACUGCUCCCCUCCGGCCCUCCGUGUGCCCUUCUGUAGAGGGAGCGGAGGGCCCACCUCGCGUUCCUCUCCAUAUCAAGGAGAGAGAUCUCUAGACAGCCGGCUAGGGCCCGGGGGUGUUAGUGAGGGAAGCCAGAAGGCCCUGGAUUUGUGUCUAAAGAGUUAGUGACACCCUCCUAAUUAAAGGAACUCAGAUGAAGGAAGGCACGAUGUCCCCCCACACAGAGGAAGUGUGAUGGGCGGGAGGACAGCGUGGCCUCGCUGGCAUGUCUGUGAGAUGUAAAGUGCGCUGACCCCGCUUUGAGGAAUCUGUCCUGAGGUUGUGCUCACGCUGUUUGUACAGGUGCCUCUCUGCAAGGCCUCUCCUUCACUCAGCAAAGCAAAAAGCCCUAAACGGCCAACCGGAGGGGACAGUGAAACAAAUGAUGGGGUGCCGUCCUGCAAAGCCUCUUUGGAAAGGAUGAGGUGGGCACGGGAGCAGAGCCUGGGAACGGGAGCCCUGCCCUGCUGCCCGGGAACCACCAUGUGAUGGGGAAUCAUAAUGGUGAGAAUCGGCCCCUAGGGCUGAGGUGAGUGCUCCAAUGAGGCGAAGUGAGGUGAGGCUGGGGGAGCUCGGAGCAAGGCGUGUCCAGGUUUUAAUCGGAAUGCAGUGAGGAGCCACAGAAGGGCUUUGAGUAGCAGAGCGGCAGGACUAGAGUUCCACUCCCUGUCUGGGCUGCUGACUUGGGCAGGGUAGCCAUGUACAGGUGUGCAGGUUGCUCGUGGCACGAAGGAAGAAUAAUUCACCAGAAGGUCCUGUAGGAGCAAAUGGUGACCCUGCGGGAAGAAGGAAUGGGAGGCACAGGCUAGCGGAGAGGAUGGAACCUAAUCAGAUAUUGGUGGAGUAGAGAGGUUCCCAGAGGGAAAGUGUGGUUGGGAGAGGAGCACACCAUGGUGGCCUGUGAGGGAGGGAUGGGCUUCACAAGGAAGAAAGAAAUACGAUCUGAAGGAGAGAUCACGUGCUGUGUGCUGAGGGGAAAAGGGCUGUGAAGAAAAACAGGGUGAGGCCGGGGAGUGAAGGUAGGAGGGACGGGUGCUUGUUCAGGGGAGGCAUCUUUGGGGGGGUGACGUCAGAGCCGGGCUGAGUAGGUGGGAAUGAGCCACGCCAGUGGACGGGGACGGGUUUCCCUGCAGGCCGCAGAGGCGGUAACGUGUCUGGGUUCCGGGACGCGGAAAGCAGGCCGGGUGACGGGAUGUAAGGGGCAGGCAGGGUGCUGGAGGCCGCGGCAGGAGAGGUGGCCGGGCCGCGAUAGGCGGGUCUCGAUUUUUUCUAAGAGCAGUGAGCUGCUGUUGGAGGGUUUUAUUUCAAUAAACCUUUUAUUUUGAAAUGACUUCAGAUGUAUAGAAAAUUUUACAAAGUAUUACAAAAAUAGUACAAAUAGUGCCCUUAUAUCCUUAACCUAGGCUCCCCAAAUGUUAACAUUCUAUCCCGUCUGUUUUUGUCCUUCUCUUCUCUAUUUUUUUUUGUAGACGAGAGUAAGUUGCAGCCAUGAUGCCGUCACCUGUAAAGAAUUUUGCAUGCAUUUCCCAGAAACGAGGACGUUCUCCUACCUAAGCGCGGCACAGUGAUAAGGAUCAGGAAAUGAAUGUGAACACACUGCUGUCACCUGCUCUUCAGACCUCGUUCACGUAGCACGGAUGGACACAGAGACGUCCUUCAUGGCAGAAGAAAACCUCUCCCCCAGCCCGGGACCCGCUCGGAGGUCGCCGGCAGCUCUGAUUCUGGGCCCCUUUGCUACUUUAGUCAGUUCAGUUCCUUAGUCUGUCUUUGUCCUCAUGACCUUGAUGUGGUUGAAAAGAAUCAACAGGCCCCAAAUGGAGUCACUUAUGCUGAACCCACCCAGGCUUGACACCUCACCUCACGGCAGCUUCAGCCUCUCCCAGGGGUGGGAUUUUAAACCAGCCCCUCGGGAGUUCCCUGACCAGCCCUAAGGAGGGAACCUGCCUGACACGGCGGCCUGUCUUCCCCUGGAAGAAGGCGGCCUUGCUGAGAUGACCCACUCUUCCACGUCGUCGAGGCUUCCAUCUUGUACAGCUGCUCAGAACGCCUGUCUCCUUGCUGGGGGCGAUGCUGCCCACUUAUGAAUCGCCGAAUAAAGCCAAUUAGAUCUUUAUGUGUA
This is a non-coding RNA of Equus caballus (horse), 3939 nucleotides long. The record is from RefSeq and is a predicted model, not a curated record. NCBI's taxonomy places the organism in Eukaryota, Metazoa, Chordata, Mammalia, Perissodactyla, Equidae.